This 300-nucleotide unclassified non-coding RNA is filed under the name fungal sp. RNAcentral describes it as "partial internal transcribed spacer region". The stretch from base 1 to 46 matches the Rfam family "Eukaryotic small subunit ribosomal RNA", at positions 1786 to 1831 of the family's 1831-position model. The record is from RNAcentral. Lineage: Eukaryota; Fungi.
AAGUCGUAACAAGGUAACCGUAGGUGAACCUGCGGUUGGAUCAUUAAAAAUUUUCGGUUGGGAACCAUGGUCAGUGGUUCCCAAUUAGAAAAACACCGUGUGCACCAUAUUCUGUCUUUGCCUCAUCCGGACGGCUGUUGGCUGCUCUUUUGGAGCCGACCGUCAAAGUGACUUUGAUAUUGUCACGCCGGCUGAGGCAACAGUGUCAAACCACUCUACAAUUUUUUAGUCGUUUUGUUCAUUCAAAAAUUUCACUUGUGAAAUGAAAAACAACUUUUGACAACGGAUCUCUUGGCUCUC